RNAcentral lists this ribosomal RNA (253 nucleotides) under uncultured bacterium. RNAcentral describes it as "partial 16S ribosomal RNA". It matches the Rfam family "Bacterial small subunit ribosomal RNA", at positions 524 to 776 of the family's 1533-position model. The record is from RNAcentral.
UACGAAGGGGGCUAGCGUUGCUCGGAAUUACUGGGCGUAAAGGGCGCGUAGGCGGCUGUGUUAGUCAGGCGUGAAAUUCCUGGGCUCAACCUGGGGACUGCGCUUGAUACGGCAUGGCUUGAGGAUGGAAGAGGCUCGCGGAAUUCCUAGUGUAGAGGUGAAAUUCGUAGAUAUUGGGAAGAACACCAGUGGCGAAGGCGGCCUGCUGGGCAGUUGCUGACACUGAGGCGCGACAGCGUGGGGAGCAAACAGG